GACGAACGCUGGCGGCGUGCCUAACACAUGCAAGUCAACGAGAAAAGGGUAGCAAUAUCCUGAGUAAAGUGGCGCACGGGUGAGUAACACGUAGGUAAUCUGCCAUCAGGACGGGGACAACCACGCGAAAGCGUAGCUAAUACCCGAUGAAUCAGCGAUGCCGCAUGGCAUUGCUGUUAAAUACCGCAAGGUGCCCGAUGAUGAACCUGCGUCCCAUUAGGUAGUUGGUGAGGUAACGGCUCACCAAGCCGACGAUGGGUAGCUGGUCUGAGAGGAUGAUCAGCCACACUGGAACUGAGACACGGUCCAGACUCCUACGGGAGGCAGCAGUGAGGAAUAUUGCGCAAUGGCCGAAAGGCUGACGCAGCGACGCCGCGUGAAGGAUGAAGUCCGUUAGGAUGUAAACUUCUUUUGCAGGGGAUGAAUGUCCCGCCAUGUGCGGGAUUGACCGUACCUUGCGAAUAAGGAUCGGCUAACUACGUG
RNAcentral lists this ribosomal RNA (483 nucleotides) under uncultured bacterium. Its description in RNAcentral is "bacterial SSU rRNA". It matches the Rfam family "Bacterial small subunit ribosomal RNA", at positions 28 to 507 of the family's 1533-position model. The record is from RNAcentral.